Molecule: ribosomal RNA, 290 nt
Filed under: uncultured prokaryote
Description: partial 16S ribosomal RNA
Rfam family: Bacterial small subunit ribosomal RNA
Source: RNAcentral
UACGUAGGGGGCGAGCGUUACCCGGAAUCACUGGGCGUAAAGGGAGCGUAGGUGGCCUGACAUGUCGACUGUGAAAACCCGGAGCUCAACUCCGGACUUGCAGUUGAAACUGCCAGGCUUGAGGACGGUAGAGGAAGACGGAACUGCCAGUGUAGGGGUAAAAUCCUUAGAUAUUGGCAGGAACGCCGGUGACGAAGGUGGUUUUCUGGGCCGGUUCUGACACUGAUGCUCGAAAGCCAGGGGAGCGAACGGGAUUAGAUACCCCCCGUAGUCCCUGAGCGGGCUGGCAA